Molecule: unclassified non-coding RNA, 3177 nt
Filed under: Ooceraea biroi (clonal raider ant)
Lineage: Eukaryota; Metazoa; Arthropoda; Insecta; Hymenoptera; Formicidae
Description: fYVE, RhoGEF and PH domain-containing protein 2, transcript variant X2
Source: RNAcentral
GUCGCACCGAGCGUUCGCCCUGGAGCGAGGUCCGCCGAGUUCCCGUGCGCCGCUCUCGCUCUCGUCGUCGUCAUCGCCGUUGCGCCGCAAUCGUCGAUCCCGUCCCUCGUUCGAUCGCGAUACCUCGGGCCGCCCUCGCCGCUUCGCGGGCAACUUCGCGCUGCCUCUGACCGCCGCGAGCGCGUAUUGCGCGAGGGUGUCGCGAUGCGGUACUUGAAGCAAGCGACGACGCGUACUACUUGAUUGGCGACGAGCCGUCCGGGUCGCCCAGGAUCGUUCGUCGGUGAUUUCACCGGGCGAUUUGAAGCUGCAAGCCUAGUGAUCGGCCUCGCCUAGCCUCGCAUCGUCUCGCCGCCUCUCCUCGCCUAAAGCUGAUCAGUAUGCCCGCGCCGAUCAGUGCGCGCCUGUUGCUGUUCCGCUACGCUACGAGCGGUCUCGAGGCAAGAGGAUGCAACGAAGUCAGUUGAGGGACAUCUCGUCCUGGAUGACGCGCCUAUUCCCGGAGCCUGGGGACGGAAGUAGCUGGAUGGUCGACGGGUUCAAGAUGUUCGGUUCAAAGAACAGCUCGCCUACAAGUACGUUCUACACCGACCUCGAGAUCACGGAGGACAAGCAGGAGUUCCAGCAGGAGGACGAACAUUCCAAAGCGCCGCCGCCACCGCCGCCGCGUUUGCCGGAGCAGCAGAGCGCGACCAGCGAGGAUGGGAACUCGCAGGAUUCGGACACGGCAACAGGUGCCGAGGAGCAGCAGGCCUACGUCAGACAUUCCUUCCACAGGAUCGCCAGUUACGGCGGCUUCCCGCGAUUUCAGUCGUUCGUCAUGUCCGCUUCCACGCCGGCCGAGUGCAUCGAUAUCACGAGACACGAGGAGACUUCAUCGGAAACGUCCUACAUUAAGAUGUCACAUAGCGUCCUAGAGUAUAGAAGCAGUAGUUACGUAGCUUCGGAGAGAAGAUCCCAUCAGUACACGUUAGACACGUACGCGGUAAGCGAAUCCGAGAGCGAGGAGGAGUCGGAGGAAACGCGGUCUUCAGAGACGGACUCUGCCAUAGUGGCGGAUCACACGGACGAGCCGAUACCAACCGAGCCCAAGUUACCAGCGAAGGACUCUCCUGAUUCGAAGAGGAGGAAGGCGUUAAACGUGGCGCGGGAGUUGCUGGCGACCGAGAAGAACUACGUGAAUAUUUUACAUCUGAUCGAUCAGGUGUUCCAAUUCAGGGUCGACCAGGAGAACAGGGCGCAUCCGAUGUUCCCGCCGGAGACUGUCCAGCACAUGUUCGCGAACAUCAAGUCGAUCUACAAGUUUCACAACGAGUUCCUGCUGCCGCAGCUCGAGGACAGGAUGCAAGAUUGGGACUCGGAUCCGAGAAUCGGCGACAUAAUGAAGAACUUCGCGCCGUUUCUCAAGAUGUACACGGAGUACGUGAAGAAUUUCGAUUACGCCAUGAAUCUGAUCAGCACGUUGCAGAGCAAGGUGCCCAGGUUUGCGGCGAUUAUCAAUGAGAUUCAGAAGCUUGACGAGUGCGCCAAGCUGUCGCUGGCUCAUCACAUGUUGAGCCCGAUACAGAGGUUGCCGCGAUACGAGCUGCUACUUAAGGAUUACUUGCGAAAUCUCACUGAGGAUCAUCAAGACUACGUCGAUGCGCAAAAGGCCCUAGAAUUAGUGUCCAUCGCUGCCAAUCACACGAACGACGCGAUGAAGAAGAUCGACAAGUUUAAGAAACUGCUGGAGAUCCAAGAGAGCAUAUACGAUGCAACUGAUCUAGUCAGUGCGACCCGUGAACUGGUGAAGGAAGGGCGUAUAGUGAAAAUUUCGGCGCGUAGCGGCGAUCAUCAAGAGAGACAUUUAUUUUUGUUUAGUGAUUUAUUAUUACUCUGCUCGAUAAGACUGAUACCCGGCCCUAUGUAUCGACUGAGAGCCAAGUUUCUGGUGGAAAAUCUGAAGGUGGUCGAGGGUGACAAUCUCGAAACCGCAAACACCUUCUACAUAAAGGACGAAAACAAGACCGUUGAACUGUACACGCACGAUGCCGCGGAGAAAGCGGCGUGGCUGGACGCGCUGUUACAAACGAUGCAGGAAAUCAUAAGGCGUAAGGCCAGCCUGAAGACUGGCAACGUCAAGACCUCCUUGGUCAAGGCCGACGAGGUAACCAAAUGCAUGGUGUGCGAGGUUAUCUUCUCUGUGAUGAAGCGCAAGCAUAACUGCCGGGCUUGUGGAAGGGUGGUUUGUAGUAAAUGCUCAAAUCAGAAAUUAUUAUUCGAGGACAAUAAAAGCAUGCGAGUGUGCAGACUGUGUCAUGCCGCGCUCACCCAGCCGCUCACUAAAUCGCCGUCAUCGCCCUCCGGACCAGUGCCAAGUUUGCUGCAAGUGUCGGCGAGCGCGCCCUCAGUAUUAUCCGGCUACCUGUUGUUGAAGACGCAGGCCAGUAAACCGUGGACCAGACGGUGGUUCGCGUUGCACGUCGACUACGUCCUGUACUCGUUCAAGUCCGAGUCGGAGAGCAUGGCCAUGACCGCGACGCCUAUGCCGGGCUUCACGGUCACGGAAGGUACGAAACUGCCCGACGAGGAUCCGCUAAACACGAAGGAUCGGAUCAGAGCGUUCAAGAUGCAUCAUUCUAGGAAGUAUUACUAUCUGCAAGCGUCUUCUCAGGAGGACAAGGAAAGGUGGAUGAACGCGCUCGAUUUGGCUACGAAGGCUGAACUACCUCAUUUCACGCAGGCGGAAAACGAAGAAAGCGCACAAGAGAGUCAAUCAAUGAACGAUGUACAAUGAGCACCUUCGUACCUUUUUACCUAACCAAACUAGCCAAUUUUUUUACUGUCUCGUACUCUCGCGAACGUGAAGACGGACACGGCAAUUGUGUACUACAAGAGAAGAGAAUGGGAGAGAAACCGAGUCAAUAGCGGCCGCUGCCGAAACGCUUGUUGUUUUGUAUGAUGUUCUGUUAUAGUAUAUUUAUAAAUAUAUAUAUAUAUAUAUUGUCGUUCGAUCACACGAUACGCUGUGCUGACCGUAAUUUGCAAUGGAUGCCGAAAAUACGUCGCGAUAUGCUUGUGAGAAAUUAGUUAACUCGCUUCAGUGAUAAUAUGUUAUCUAAGCUACGAGAGAAGAUCGAUUUUAUUGAAUGCGUAAUGAAGUCUAUAGUUUUAUCAAUAAAUUUAUUUCACAUCGUA